GAAAUAAAAAUCCCCUAAGCUGCUAACUUAGGCUCAAGUAAUAAAAUUAUUUAUAUUUCU
This 60-nucleotide transfer RNA is filed under the name Silvatares holzenthali. Its description in RNAcentral is "tRNA-Ser". Lineage: Eukaryota; Metazoa; Arthropoda; Insecta; Trichoptera; Pisuliidae. The record is from RNAcentral.